This 590-nucleotide ribosomal RNA is filed under the name uncultured Burkholderia sp. RNAcentral's name for it is "bacterial SSU rRNA". It matches the Rfam family "Bacterial small subunit ribosomal RNA", at positions 418 to 1003 of the family's 1533-position model. The record is from RNAcentral. Lineage: Bacteria; Pseudomonadati; Pseudomonadota; Betaproteobacteria; Burkholderiales; Burkholderiaceae.
UCGGGUUGUAAAGCACUUUUGUCCGGAAAGAAAACUUCUGUCCUAAUACGGCGGGGGGAUGACGGUACCGGAAGAAUAAGCACCGGCUAACUACGUGCCAGCAGCGCGGUAAUCGUAGGGUGCGAGCGUUAAUCGGAAUUACUGGGCGUAAAGCGUGCGCAGGCGGUUCGUUAAGACAGAUGUGAAAUCCCCGGGCUUAACCUGGGAACUGCAUUUGUGACUGGCGGGCUAGAGUAUGGCAGAGGGGGGUAGAAUUCCACGUGUAGCAGUGAAAUGCGUAGAGAUGUGGAGGAAUACCGAUGGCGAAGGCAGCCCCCUGGGCCAAUACUGACGCUCAUGCACGAAAGCGUGGGGAGCAAACAGGAUUAGAUACCCUGGUAGUCCACGCCCUAAACGAUGUCAACUAGUUGUCGGGUCUUCAUUGACUUGGUAACGUAGCUAACGCGUGAAGUUGACCGCCUGGGGAGUACGGUCGCAAGAUUAAAACUCAAAGGAAUUGACGGGGACCCGCACAAGCGGUGGAUGAUGUGGAUUAAUUCGAUGCAACGCGAAAAACCUUACCUACCCUUGACAUGGACGGAGCCUGGCUG